This 497-nucleotide ribosomal RNA is filed under the name uncultured bacterium. RNAcentral's name for it is "partial 16S ribosomal RNA". It matches the Rfam family "Bacterial small subunit ribosomal RNA", at positions 28 to 507 of the family's 1533-position model. The record is from RNAcentral.
GAUGAAUGCUGGCGGCGUGCCUAAUACAUGCAAGUCGAGCGAACGGACGAGAAGCUUGCUUCUCUGAUGUUAGCGGCGGACGGGUGAGUAACACGUGGAUAACCUACCUAUAAGACUGGGAUAACUUCGGGAAACCGGAGCUAAUACCGGAUAAUAUUUUGAACCGCAUGGUUCAAAAGUGAAAGACGGUCUUGCUGUCACUUAUAGAUGGAUCCGCGCUGCAUUAGCUAGUUGGUAAGGUAACGGCUUACCAAGGCAACGAUGCAUAGCCGACCUGAGAGGGUGAUCGGCCACACUGGAACUGAGACACGGUCCAGACUCCUACGGGAGGCAGCAGUAGGGAAUCUUCCGUAAUGGGCGAAAGCCUGACGGAGCAACGCCGCGUGAGUGAUGAAGGUCUUCGGAUCGUAAAACUCUUUUAUUAGGGAAGAACAUAUGUGUAAGUAACUGUGCACAUCUUGACGGUACCUAAUCAGAAAGCCACGGCUAACUACGUG